Molecule: long non-coding RNA, 397 nt
Filed under: Helianthus annuus (common sunflower)
Lineage: Eukaryota; Viridiplantae; Streptophyta; Magnoliopsida; Asterales; Asteraceae
Source: RNAcentral
UCCAGUGAUGGCAUGAUAUCUUUGAGACCUGAUUAUUUACAUUUUGAUGACAACUAUAAGCAUUUUAAGCUGAGGAUCAUUUAACUUUUAAAUUUCUAUUUUUAUUUAUAUGUUUUUUUUAAUUUUAGUAUGAUUUUUGAAGUGAUGAAGUUUGCACUGGGCUCUGAGAGUAAUUGAUUAAUUGCUUGAUUUGAUGCAUAUUGCAGCCUAGAAAGCUAGUCUGAUCAUUUAUCUUGUUUAAUAAGUAUUAAUUAAUUUAUUUGUUUAUUAUUUUUAGUUUUAAUAAUAAAAAUUGUGGUAUUGCUAUGAUGAUUGAACUUGCAUCCCAGCUCACUAUGAGACCUUGAUAUGUUUGAGGUUCUUGAUUACAAAUAGUUCAUUUUAAUCUGAGCUUUUA